This 253-nucleotide ribosomal RNA is filed under the name uncultured bacterium. RNAcentral describes it as "partial 16S ribosomal RNA". It matches the Rfam family "Bacterial small subunit ribosomal RNA", at positions 524 to 776 of the family's 1533-position model. The record is from RNAcentral.
UACGAAGGGGGCUAGCGUUGUUCGGAAUCACUGGGCGUAAAGGGCGUGUAGGCGGUCAAGUAAGUGGAAUGUGAAACGCCUCGGCUUACCCGAGGACCUGCAUCCCAAACUGCUUGGCUUGAGUAUGGGAGAGGAUGAGGGAAUUCCUGGUGUAGCGGUGAAAUGCGUAGAUAUCAGGAGGAACACCGGUGGCGAAAGCGCUCAUCUGGCCCAAUACUGACGCUGAGGCGCGAAAGCUAGGGGAGCAAACGGG